AAAAAAGGUAAGCUACUAAGAGCGAAUGGUGGAUGCCUUGACUGGUAAAGGCGAUGAAGGACGUACUAGACUGCGAUAAGCUACGGGGAGCUGUCAAGAAGCUUUGAUCCGUAGAUUUCCGAAUGGGGCAACCCAAUGUAUAGAGAUAUACAUUACCUAUAUAGGAGCGAACGAGGGGAAUUGAAACAUCUUAGUACUCUCAGGAAAAGAAAUCAAUAGAGAUUGCGUCAGUAGCGGCGAGCGAAAGCGCAAGAGGGCAAACCCAGUGCUUGCACUGGGGGUUGUAGGACUGCAAUGUGCAAGAGGUAAGUUUAGCAGAACAUUCUGGAAAGUAUAACCAUAGAGGGUGAUAGUCCCGUAUGCGAAAAACAAACCUUAGCUAGCAGUAUCCUGAGUAGGGCGGGACACGAGGAAUCCUGUCUGAAUCCGGGUCGACCACGAUCCAACCCUAAAUACUAAUACCAGAUCGAUAGUGCACAAGUACCGUGAGGGAAAGGUGAAAAGAACUGAGGUGAUCAGAGUGAAAUAGAACCUGAAACCAUUUGCUUACAAUCAUUCAGAGCCCUAUGUAGCAAUACAGGGUGAUGGACUGCCUUUUGCAUAAUGAGCCUGCGAGUUGUGGUGUCUGGCAAGGUUAAGCAAACGCGAAGCCGUAGCGAAAGCGAGUCUGAAUAGGGCGCUUAGUCAGAUGCUGCAGACCCGAAACGAAGUGAUCUAUCCAUGAGCAAGUUGAAGCUAGUGUAAGAACUAGUGGAGGACUGAACCCAUAGGCGUUGAAAAGCCCCGGGAUGACUUGUGGAUAGGGGUGAAAGGCCAAUCAAACUUCGUGAUAGCUGGUUCUCUCCGAAAUAUAUUUAGGUAUAGCGUUGUGUCGUAAUAUAAGGGGGUAGAGCACUGAAUGGGCUAGGGCAUACACCAAUGUACCAAACCCUAUCAAACUCCGAAUACCUUAUAUGUAAUCACAGCAGUCAGGCGGCGAGUGAUAAAAUCCGUCGUCAAGAGGGAAACAACCCAGACUACCAGCUAAGGUCCCUAAGUCUUACUUAAGUGGAAAACGAUGUGAAGUUACUUAAACAACCAGGAGGUUGGCUUAGAAGCAGCCAUCCUUUAAAGAAAGCGUAAUAGCUCACUGGUCUAGUGAUUUUGCGCGGAAAAUAUAACGGGGCUAAAGUAAGUACCGAAGCUGUAGACUUGCGCACAACUUAGAUUAUUUAAGUUUAGAAUAUGAGAAACUAAGUUAUGUUUAGUUAUAUUUUUACUGAUUUUUAUAGAGUAAAGAUAGAAAUAAAACUUAGUAAAAUCAGUAAAAAUAUUCUUAGGCUAAAGUUAAGUAGUUUAAGUUGUGUGCAAGUGGUAGGAGAGCGUUCUAUUUGCGUCGAAGGUAUACCGGUAAGGAGUGCUGGAGCGAAUAGAAGUGAGCAUGCAGGCAUGAGUAGCGAUAAUUAAUGUGAGAAUCAUUAACGCCGUAAACCCAAGGUUUCCUACGCGAUGCUCGUCAUCGUAGGGUUAGUCGGGUCCUAAGUCGAGUCCGAAAGGGGUAGACGAUGGCAAAUUGGUUAAUAUUCCAAUACCAACAUUAGUGUGCGAUGGAAGGACGCUUAGGGCUAAGGGGGCUAGCGGAUGGAAGUGCUAGUCUAAGGUCGUAGGAGGUUAUACAGGCAAAUCCGUAUAACAAUACUCCGAGAACUGAAAGGCUUUUUGAAGUCUUCGGAUGGAUAGAAGAACCCCUGAUGCCGUCGAGCCAAGAAAAGUUUCUAAGUUUAGCUAAUGUUGCCCGUACCGUAAACCGACACAGGUGGGUGGGAUGAGUAUUCUAAGGCGCGUGGAAGAACUCUCUUUAAGGAACUCUGCAAAAUAGCACCGUAUCUUC
RNAcentral lists this ribosomal RNA (1870 nucleotides) under Campylobacter jejuni. RNAcentral's name for it is "partial 23S ribosomal RNA". It matches the Rfam family "Bacterial large subunit ribosomal RNA", at positions 1 to 1737 of the family's 2925-position model. The record is from RNAcentral. Lineage: Bacteria; Pseudomonadati; Campylobacterota; Epsilonproteobacteria; Campylobacterales; Campylobacteraceae.